RNAcentral lists this ribosomal RNA (465 nucleotides) under uncultured Actinomycetes bacterium. RNAcentral's name for it is "bacterial SSU rRNA". It matches the Rfam family "Bacterial small subunit ribosomal RNA", at positions 28 to 504 of the family's 1533-position model. Lineage: Bacteria; Bacillati; Actinomycetota; Actinomycetes. The record is from RNAcentral.
GACGAACGCUGGCGGCGUGCUUAACACAUGCAAGUCGAACGCUGAAGCCCAGCUUGCUGGGUGGAUGAGUGGCGAACGGGUGAGUAACACGUGGGUAAUCUGCCCUGUACUCUGGGAUAAGCCUGGGAAACUGGGUCUAAUACCGGAUAGGACACACUGCCGCAUGGUGGUGUGUGGAAAGCUCCGGCGGUACAGGUUGAGCCCGCGGCCUAUCAGCUUGUUGGUGGGGUGAUGGCCUACCAAGGCGACGACGGGUAGCCGGCCUGAGAGGGUGACCGGCCACACUGGGACUGAGACACGGCCCAGACUCCUACGGGAGGCAGCAGUGGGGAAUAUUGCACAAUGGGCGCAAGCCUGAUGCAGCGACGCCGCGUGGGGGAUGACGGCCUUCGGGUUGUAAACCUCUUUCAGUAGGGAAGAAGCCUUCGGGUGACGGUACCUGCAGAAGAAGUACCGGCUAACUAC